Molecule: long non-coding RNA, 1051 nt
Filed under: Fukomys damarensis (Damara mole-rat)
Lineage: Eukaryota; Metazoa; Chordata; Mammalia; Rodentia; Bathyergidae
Description: lncRNA (ENSFDAG00000031101.1)
Source: RNAcentral
AUGAACCCCAACCUUACAUUAGGAACAAGAACGUGUGCCACCUCCAUCAGCAAGAGCACUGCCCAAGGCCGGCGGGCUCCUGUCAUCUGCUCCACUCCUACCAGGAAGAUGGGGGACUGCGGACUGCUGCUCUGUUGGCAAGGAAAAGCCCAGGGCUGGAAUCCAUGCUGGGCAGGGAACAAGCCCAGAGGCUUGGAGACAUUGGAUCACAGAAAACACAGCUUCCAGCCCCUUUCCUUGCUCCACACCUUUAAUUGCUUCUCUUGUCUGGCUGAGCAAAUCCAUUCUUCUCCUAAUGAUGACUUCGCUUCACACAGUCCAUCAUUCAGCUCUGUCUGCAGCAUCAAUGAUUCCCCAGGCCCUCAAUCUCCUUCCCAUGGUGCCUGCUGGUACAUUCUCGUGCACACACAUUUGAGGCCCACCUUUCAGUGGAACACAGCUUCAGGUCAGGGGUCAGUCCACAGUUGGCCACUCUCGCUUCCCUCUCCAGGAGCAGAGCUCACCUCCCACGGGAGGAAGGCACCCCUCCGUUCUGAGUGCACAGCUGUUUGCCUUCAGAGCCUCCAGUGGCAGUGACAUGGAUUUAGGGAGAAGUAAGGAGCAAGAAAUCUGAAAACUGUGGCAUCCACAUGAAGGGCUGUGAACAAUCAGUACAUGUCAGCCCCAGUGGGCAGAUGGUUUCUUCUGUCCACUGGGCAGGAUGUGGACAUAGCAUUGGAAACCCCCUGCUUGUCCUGUGCAUAUAGAGAGGUCCAGGACCCUGACCAGCCCACUCUGGUGGGCUGAGGUAGCAGAGGCUCUGGGGUAGAUCCAGACCUGGAGCCCGGAGGAAAGUUAAUGAGACUCAAACUAGCAGCCACCGUGGAAGUCGGAGCAUCAGCCAUACACCGAUGAAUGAGCAGCUGCAGCAGUGCUCCACGUUCCGGAAGCAGUGGCACAAAUGCCUGCUGUGUCACACUUUUAUCUUCCUCAACACAGACACCAACACUCCAUAGCAGGACUUGACUGCUCCAUAACAAAAUUAUCAAUUACUCAUAAUUAUCAUUUUCAG